This 467-nucleotide ribosomal RNA is filed under the name uncultured bacterium. Its description in RNAcentral is "partial 16S ribosomal RNA". It matches the Rfam family "Bacterial small subunit ribosomal RNA", at positions 28 to 506 of the family's 1533-position model. The record is from RNAcentral.
GACGAACGCUGGCGGCGUGCUUAACACAUGCAAGUCGAACGGAAAGGCCCUGCUUUUGUGGGGUGCUCGAGUGGCGAACGGGUGAGUAACACGUGAGUAACCUGCCCUUGACUUUGGGAUAACUUCAGGAAACUGGGGCUAAUACCGGAUAGGAGCUCCUGCUGCAUGGUGGGGGUUGGAAAGUUUCGGCGGUUGGGGAUGGACUCGCGGCUUAUCAGCUUGUUGGUGGGGUAGUGGCUUACCAAGGCUUUGACGGGUAGCCGGCCUGAGAGGGUGACCGGCCACAUUGGGACUGAGAUACGGCCCAGACUCCUACGGGAGGCAGCAGUGGGGAAUAUUGCACAAGGGGCGGAAGCCUGAUGCAGAAACGCCGCGUGCGGGAUGACGGCCUUCGGGUUGUAAACCGCUUUCGCCUGUGACGAAGCGUGAGUGACGGUAAUGGGUAAAGAAGCACCGGCUAACUACGU